GACGUAGGGCGCGAGCGUUGUCCGGAUUUACUGGGCGUAAAGAGCUCGUAGGCGGCUUGUCGCGUCGAAUGUGAAAUCUCAGGGCUCAACUCUGACAUUGCAUUCGAUACGGGCAGGCUAGAGUUCGGUAGGGGAGAGUGGAAUUCCUGGUGUAGCGGUGAAAUGCGCAGAUAUCAGGAAGAACACCCGUGGCUAAGGCGGCUCUCUAGUACGGUACUGACGCUGAGACGCGAAAGCGUGGGGAGCGAACAGG
This 253-nucleotide ribosomal RNA is filed under the name uncultured bacterium. RNAcentral describes it as "partial 16S ribosomal RNA". It matches the Rfam family "Bacterial small subunit ribosomal RNA", at positions 524 to 776 of the family's 1533-position model. The record is from RNAcentral.